Oreochromis aureus is the source of this 352-nucleotide long non-coding RNA. The record is from Ensembl. NCBI's taxonomy places the organism in Eukaryota, Metazoa, Chordata, Actinopteri, Cichliformes, Cichlidae.
GGAGAAGCUGCUGCCUGCGAGUUUGCUGCAGACAGAGGAGAGCUUAAGUUUGACCAGCACAAAGAGGGAGAGAGAGGAACAGAGAGGAGAGAGAGAGAGCAGAGAGGGAGAUGGAGAAUGAGGACAGAACAGAGAUCGAACAAGAGCAGGCUGUGGCUCUGAUUAACACGUCGCUGGACAAUUGAGUAACACACACCUCCUGGACCCGUCUCGAACCCUGAACCCUGUGCCUGAGUGUUGCUUUGGUGUGUAUGAGGAGGAAUUCCUGUGAAGAGCAAGCGAGUUGGCAGUGGAGCGUGUGGAGCAAAGUGCGAGUGUGAAGAUCUCGUGUUUCCGAACCCCCGUGAAUCCC